This 250-nucleotide ribosomal RNA is filed under the name uncultured bacterium. RNAcentral's name for it is "partial 16S ribosomal RNA". It matches the Rfam family "Bacterial small subunit ribosomal RNA", at positions 524 to 774 of the family's 1533-position model. The record is from RNAcentral.
UACGUAGGGGGCGAGCGUUGUCCGGAAUUAUUGGGCGUAAAGGGUUCGCAGGCGGUCUUUUAAGUCAGAUGUGAAAGGCUACGGCUCAACCGUGGUAAGCAUUUGAAACUGAAAGACUUGAGUUAAGGAGAGGAAAGUGGAAUUCCUAGUGUAGCGGUGAAAUGCGUAGAUAUUAGGAGGAAUACCAGUGGCGAAGGCGACUUUCUGGACUUAUACUGACGCUGAGGAACGAAAGCGUGGGGAGCAAACA